RNAcentral lists this long non-coding RNA (451 nucleotides) under Spirodela polyrhiza (greater duckweed). Its description in RNAcentral is "long non-coding RNA (SPOL_LNC002549)". Lineage: Eukaryota; Viridiplantae; Streptophyta; Magnoliopsida; Alismatales; Araceae. The record is from RNAcentral.
CCCGACUCAUCUUCUGAACCUGUCGUCUCCCAUUCCCCCGCGUCCGGUGAUGUUCUCGGUAGCGUUCCUGAGAUCAAUCGAGGCGAGACGCAACGAGCGGCAGAUCCAUGAUUUCUCAUCAUUCUAUCCAAAGGAGAAAGCGGGGAUGUAACACAGGCAGACAAUCACAGCAAAUCAUGAAAUGAAUCUUCUCUAACCUACGAUCCGAUGAAGAAAUCCGAAGAGGCAAACCCUAGGUACGACAUGAAAGGCAGAGAGAGAGAGAGAGAGAGAGGAAGAAAGCUGCUGUUGCCGCUGUGAGAUGGAGGUCGAGGGAUCGGGACGGACCUGAAGAUCUGAGCCUACAUCGCCGGAGCACCAGGGGCUUCUCCUCCCGGAGCUCCGUUGAUUCCACCGCAGGGAGGGAAGCGGAGCCGCCAUCUCCGGGAUUUGAAUCCUCUCGGGAUGGGAU